RNAcentral lists this ribosomal RNA (253 nucleotides) under uncultured bacterium. RNAcentral's name for it is "partial 16S ribosomal RNA". It matches the Rfam family "Bacterial small subunit ribosomal RNA", at positions 524 to 776 of the family's 1533-position model. The record is from RNAcentral.
UACAUAGGGGGCAAGCGUUGUUCGGAUUCACUGGGCGUAAAGGGUGCGUAGGCGGUCGGGUAAGUCUGAUGUGAAAUCUCACAGCUUAACUGUGAAACUGCAUUGGAUACUAUCCGGCUCGAGGAAUGGAGGGGAGACUGGAAUACUUGGUGUAGCAGUGAAAUGCGUAGAUAUCAAGUGGAACACCAGUGGCGAAGGCGAGUCUCUGGACAUUUCCUGACGCUGAGGCACGAAAGCCAGGGGAGCAAACGGG